RNAcentral lists this ribosomal RNA (700 nucleotides) under uncultured bacterium. RNAcentral's name for it is "bacterial SSU rRNA". It matches the Rfam family "Bacterial small subunit ribosomal RNA", at positions 55 to 774 of the family's 1533-position model. The record is from RNAcentral.
AUGCAGUCGAGCGACGCCCUCCUUUCGGGGAGGUGACGGAGCGGCGAACGGGUGAGUAACACGUGGGCAACCUGCCCCUAGCUCUGGGAUAACACCGGGAAACCGGUGCUAAUACCGGAUAUGACCUCGGAGGGCAUUUUCUGAGGUGGAAAGUUUUUCGGCUAGGGAUGGGCCCGCGGCCUAUCAGCUUGUUGGUGGGGUAAUGGCCUACCAAGGCGACGACGGGUAGCCGGCCUGAGAGGGCGACCGGCCACACUGGGACUGAGACACGGCCCAGACUCCUACGGGAGGCAGCAGUGGGGAAUAUUGCGCAAUGGGCGAAAGCCUGACGCAGCGACGCCGCGUGAGGGAUGAAGGCCUUCGGGUUGUAAACCUCUUUCAGCAGGGACGAAAACAGACGGUACCUGCAGAAGAAGCACCGGCCAACUACGUGCCAGCAGCCGCGGUAAUACGUAGGGUGCAAGCGUUGUCCGGAAUUAUUGGGCGUAAAGAGCUCGUAGGCGGUUUGUCGCGUCGGCUGUGAAAACUCGGGGCUCAACCCCGAGCCUGCAGUCGAUACGGGCAGACUAGAGUGCUGUAGGGGAGACUGGAAUUCCUGGUGUAGCGGUGAAAUGCGCAGAUAUCAGGAGGAACACCGGUGGCGAAGGCGGGUCUCUGGGCAGUAACUGACGCUGAGGAGCGAAAGCGUGGGGAGCAAACA